Long non-coding RNA from Equus asinus (donkey), 1776 nucleotides. The record is from Ensembl. NCBI's taxonomy places the organism in Eukaryota, Metazoa, Chordata, Mammalia, Perissodactyla, Equidae.
CCCCGGAGCGCUCUGCUCGUGGGGACCCUCCCCGGUCUUAGCUUCCUCCCCCGAGUGGUGGGAGCUGGCAGAGUUUACUGCUCCCAUGGGGUGUGCCAGGCGUGGCUGAGCCCCGAACCCCGUGCGGUUGUAUAGGAUUGCCUGGAGGGCUGCAGUGUUGGCAUCUGUUCGACCAUAUCAUCAUCCGAUUAGUAGGAAUGAUAUGAUGCCUACUCCCUCUCAUCCGAUGAACAGUUGGAAGAGGUUGUUGGCUGUGACUAGGAUUAUUAUGGUAAUAAGGAAUGUGAGUAGGUAUUUAAAAAAUCGAGUGAUGUAAGGAUCUGAGUGUAUGUAUCAUAGGGAGAAUUCUAUGAUAGAUCAUGUUACGAAUAGGGCUACUGGUACAAAGACCAUUGAGAAAUAGUCUAGUUUGAAGCUUAGGGAUAGUUUGAGGGUUUGAAUGGUCAUUCAGUGUCAGUUUGAGAUGAUUGUUUCUUGUCCAGAGUGGAUAAAUAUUAUGGUAGGAAUUAGGCUGGUAAUGAAGGCAUAUGAAAUGAUGUUUUUUACGUGAUGAGGAUACGUGCUGUUUUUGUGGGUGUUGAGGAUUGAUGAUAUGAUUGGUAGGGUUAAUACUGAUAAUGAAACUAGCAUGAGGGAGGAGAAUAUGUUAAUUACUUUUACUUGGAGUUGCACCAAUUUUUUGGUUCCUAAGACCAACGGAUAGCUCCUAUCCUUUAAAAGUUUGAGAGAGCCGUGUUUGUCAGACGCGGAAGCAUGAAUUAGCAGUUCUUGCAUACUUUCUCGGUAAAUAAGAAAUAUUGAGUUUCUGUUUCUAGAUCCACAAUCUAGCGUUUUUGUUAAACUAUAUUUACAGUACGUAAAGCCUAGGAUGAUUUUGGGAUUAAGUGAUAGGAGUAGUAGGGGAGUCAUGUGGAGGGCUAUGAGUGCGUUUUCUCGUGUAAAUGAGGGUUUGAUGUUGUUGAUAUGGUAUGUGUAUUUUCCUCGUUGUGUAGUAAUUAGUAUGUAGAGGGAGUAGAGAGCGGUGAUGGUGAUGUUGGUUAGGCUGGCUAAUAGUCAUCAAGCUGCUAUGAGGGGAAGGAGAGUUUGAAGUCCGCGGGCUAGGAUUAUGGUUCGGCUAUGAGUGCGUUCGUAAUUUGAGUUUGCUAGACAGAAUAGUAUUGAUGACGUAAGACCGUGGGCAAUUAUUAGGGCUGUGGCCCCUAUAUAGCUUCAUGGUGUUUGGAUAAGGACGGCUACAAUUACUAGGGCUAUAUGGCUGACAGAGGAGUAUGCAAUAAGUGAUUUUAGAUCAGUUUGUCGUAAGCAGAUGGAGCUAGUUAUAAUUAUUCCUCAUAGAGAUAGUAUGAGGAAGGGGUAGGCUAUAAAAUUAGUCUGGGGGUUUAGUAUUAUUGUAAUUCGCAGUAUUCCGUAGCCCCCUAGUUUUAGUAGGAUGGCUGCUAGCACUAUGGACCCAGCGAUUGGGGCUUCUACAUGGGCUUUCGGAAGUCAGAGGUGAAGGCCAUAUAGGGGCAUUUUAACUAUAAACGCUAUUAUACAUGCUAAUCAUAAGAAGAUAUUAGAUCAAGAGUCGGGUAGUGCUUGGUUUCAGUAUUGGAUUAGUAGGAAAUUUAGUGAGCCUGUUAGGUUUUGGAUAGAGAUUAGUGCGACUAAGAGUGGGAGGGAGCCUACUAGCGUGUAGAAUAGAAAGUAGAGGCCUGCGUUUAGGCGUUCUGUUUGGUUACCUCAGCGGGUGAUGAUAAUUAGUGUUGGAACUAAUGUGGCUUCGAAUAGGAUAUA